Long non-coding RNA from Pan troglodytes (chimpanzee), 825 nucleotides. RefSeq lists it as uncharacterized. The record is from RefSeq and is a predicted model, not a curated record. The transcript is spliced from 4 exons. Lineage: Eukaryota; Metazoa; Chordata; Mammalia; Primates; Hominidae.
GCGCGGGGACCCGGCCCGGCCGUACCCCGCCGGCCUGCCGACCCGGGUCCGGGGGCCCAGUUGGCGCCCGGACCAGCUCUCCGGUCCGCGUCCUGUAGAUGGGAAAACUGAGGCCUGAGAGGGCGCGAGGGCGGGGACGAGGCCGAGGACUCGGGUUCGAAUCUCGAGGACGCCAGUAGCCCGCUCUGAGGCCGCGUGGGGCUGGUGGAGGAGCCACCGGUCGGGCCCCCAAGACCGGCUGACGUGGGCCUCGCCUCGGGCGACUCCCGCCGGGCUAGCGGCUGGCCGUGUGGUGACCUUGGGCGAGUUACUUCGCACAGCCAUCCAGGGGCCUCUUCUCCAACACGAUAGCACUGCACCCGGAGGGCCUUCAGACCUGAGCUGAAAUCUACACCACCGGCUCUCUGACUAUCAGGCUUUGGACUAUACUUUGGGCUUUCCUGGGUCUCUUACCUGGCAGACAGCAGAUUUUGGAACUUUUCAGCCUCCAUAAUCAUAUUCUACUGGAACUUCUAGCAGGCAAACUCACCUAGUGCUCUCUGGAAGGUGAUGUGGGUGGACCUCUGUCUGAUUCCAAUGUCUAGAUGCCAAUGAGCUCUCCACCAUCACCCCAGAGGCAGGGGAAAGAAGAUAUAAGUAGACCUGGGCCUGUCUUCAUUCACUCUCAUUCCCAGAAGAACCACAAAGCAUAAAUUUCCCCAAAAGGGGAAUUUUGUUGAUGGCUUUAGUCUAUUCCCUCCUAAAAGACCAGCUACAACCAAAUGAAGUGAACGUAACCUCAAGGGUGUAUUGUCUUCAUAAUAAAAGAUGAAGCUUAGAACUGGA